This 497-nucleotide ribosomal RNA is filed under the name uncultured bacterium. Its description in RNAcentral is "partial 16S ribosomal RNA". It matches the Rfam family "Bacterial small subunit ribosomal RNA", at positions 28 to 507 of the family's 1533-position model. The record is from RNAcentral.
GAUGAACGCUGGCGGCGUGCCUAAUACAUGCCAGUCGAGCGAACAGAUGAGGAGCUUGCUCCUCUGACGUUAGCGGCGGACGGGUGAGUAACACGUGGAUAACCUACCUAUAAGACUGGGAUAACUUCGGGAAACCGGAGCUAAUACCGGAUAAUAUAUUGAACCGCAUGGUUCAAUAGUGAAAGACGGUUUUGCUGUCACUUAUAGAUGGAUCCGCGCCGCAUUAGCUAGUUGGUAAGGUAACGGCUUACCAAGGCAACGAUGCGUAGCCGACCUGAGAGGGUGAUCGGCCACACUGGAACUGAGACACGGUCCAGACUCCUACGGGAGGCAGCAGUAGGGAAUCUUCCGCAAUGGGCGAAAGCCUGACGUAGCAACGCCGCGUGAGUGAUGAAGGUCUUCGGAUCGUAAAACUCUGUUAUUAGGGAAGAACAAAUGUGUAAGUAACUAUGCACGUCUUGACGGUACCUAAUCAGAAAGCCACGGCUAACUACGUG